UUGACCAUCUUUUAAUCGAGAUUUUGCCUUCGGGUUACAAUUGAGACAGGUGGUGCAUGGUUGUCGUCAGCUCGUGUCGUGAGAUGUUGGGUUAAGUCCCGCAACGAGCGCAACCCUUGUCCUUAGUUACCAGCACGUUAUGGUGGGCACUCUAAGGAGACUGCCGGUGACAAACCGGAGGAAGGUGGGGAUGACGUCAAGUCAUCAUGGCCCUCACGGCCUGGGCUACACACGUGCUACAAUGGUCGGUACAAAGGGUUGCCAAGCCGCGAGGUGGAGCUAAUCCCAUAAAACCGAUCGUAGUCCGGAUCGCAGUCUGCAACUCGACUGCGUGAAGUCGGAAUCGCUAGUAAUCGUGAAUCAGAAUGUCACGGUGAAUACGUUCCCGGGCCUU
RNAcentral lists this ribosomal RNA (394 nucleotides) under uncultured Pseudomonas sp. RNAcentral describes it as "bacterial SSU rRNA". It matches the Rfam family "Bacterial small subunit ribosomal RNA", at positions 992 to 1382 of the family's 1533-position model. The record is from RNAcentral. Lineage: Bacteria; Pseudomonadati; Pseudomonadota; Gammaproteobacteria; Pseudomonadales; Pseudomonadaceae.